UAAGCACCGGCUAACUACGUGCCAGCAGCCGCGGUAAUACGUAGGUGCAAGCGUUAAUCGGAAUUACUGGGCGUAAAGCGUGCGCAGGCGGUUCAAAAAGAAAGAUGUGAAAUCCCAGAGCUUAACUUUUGGAACUGCAUUUUUAACUACCGAGCUAGAGUGUGUCAGAGGGAGGUAAUCUCCGCGUGUAGCAGUGAAAUGCGUAGAUGCGGAGGAACACCGAUGGCGAAGGCAGCCUCCUGGGAUAACACUGACGCUCAUGCACGAAAGCGUGGGGAGCAAACAGGAUUAGAUACCCUGUAGUCCACGCCCUAAACGAUGUCAACUAGCUGUUGGGGCCUUCGGGCUUCGGUAGCGCAGCUAACGCGUGAAGUUGACCGCCUGGGAGUACGGUCGCAAGAUUAAAACUCAAAGGAAUUGACGGGGACCCGCACAAGCGGUGGAUGAUGUGGAUUAAUUCGAUGCAACGCGAAAACCUUACCUUACCCUUGACAUGUCUGGAAUCCCGAAGAGAUUUGGGAGUGCUCGCAAGAGAACCGGAACACAGGUGCUGCAUGGCUGUCGUCAGCUCGUGUCGUGAGAUGUUGGGUUAAGUCCCGCAACGAGCGCAACCUUGUCAUUAGUUGCUACGAAAGGGCACUCUAAUGAGACCGUUUGCGACAAACCGGAGUGAAGGUGGGGAUGACGUCAGUCCUCAUGGCCCUUAUGGGUAGGGCUUACACGUCAUACAAUGGUCGGGACAGGAGGGUCGCCAACCCGCGAGGGGGAGCCAAUCCCAGAAACCUGAUCGAACCGGAUCGCAGUCUGCAACCUCGACUGCGUGAAGUCGGAAUCGCUAGUAAUCGCGGAUCAGCAUGUCGCGGUGAAUACGUUCCCGGGUCUUGUACACACCUCGCCCGUCACACCAUGGGAGUGGGUUUUACCAGAAGUAGUUAGCCUAACCGUAAGGAGGGCGAUUACCACGGUAGGAUUCAUGACUGGGGUGAAGUCGUAACAAGGUAA
RNAcentral lists this unclassified non-coding RNA (1002 nucleotides) under uncultured Bordetella sp. Its description in RNAcentral is "partial 16S-23S ribosomal RNA intergenic spacer". It matches the Rfam family "Bacterial small subunit ribosomal RNA", at positions 487 to 1499 of the family's 1533-position model. The record is from RNAcentral. Lineage: Bacteria; Pseudomonadati; Pseudomonadota; Betaproteobacteria; Burkholderiales; Alcaligenaceae.